RNAcentral lists this ribosomal RNA (253 nucleotides) under uncultured bacterium. RNAcentral describes it as "partial 16S ribosomal RNA". It matches the Rfam family "Bacterial small subunit ribosomal RNA", at positions 524 to 776 of the family's 1533-position model. The record is from RNAcentral.
UACGUAGGGUGCAAGCGUUAAUCGGAAUUACUGGGCGUAAAGCGUGCGCAGGCGGUUUUGUAAGUCUGUCGUGAAAUCCCCGGGCUCAACCUGGGAAUUGCGAUGGAGACUGCAAGGCUAGAAUCUGGCAGAGGGGGGGUGGAAUUCCACGUGUAGCAGUGAAAUGCGUAGAGAUGUGGAGGAACACCGAUGGCGAAGGCAGCCCCCUGGGUCAAGACUGACGCUCAUGCACGAAGCGUGGGGAGCAAACAGG